This 392-nucleotide ribosomal RNA is filed under the name uncultured bacterium. RNAcentral's name for it is "partial 16S ribosomal RNA". It matches the Rfam family "Bacterial small subunit ribosomal RNA", at positions 523 to 918 of the family's 1533-position model. The record is from RNAcentral.
AUACGUAGGUGGCAAGCGUUAUCCGGAAUUAUUGGGCGUAAAGAGGGAGCAGGCGGCAGCAAGGGUCUGUGGUGAAAGCCUGAAGCUUAACUUCAGUAAGCCAUAGAAACCAGGCAGCUAGAGUGCAGGAGAGGAUCGUGGAAUUCCAUGUGUAGCGGUGAAAUGCGUAGAUAUAUGGAGGAACACCAGUGGCGAAGGCGACGAUCGGGCCUGCAACUGACGCUCAGUCCCGAAAGCGUGGGGAGCAAAUAGGAUUAGAUACCCUAGUAGUCCACGCCGUAAACGAUGAGUACUAAGUGUUGGAUGUCAAAGUUCAGUGCUGCAGUUAACGCAAUAAGUACUCCGCCUGAGUAGUACGUUCGCAAGAAUGAAACUCAAAUGAAUUGGCGGGG